Long non-coding RNA from Rhododendron vialii, 1541 nucleotides. RefSeq lists it as uncharacterized. Lineage: Eukaryota; Viridiplantae; Streptophyta; Magnoliopsida; Ericales; Ericaceae. The transcript is spliced from 3 exons. The record is from RefSeq and is a predicted model, not a curated record.
UUGAUCAGAGAUUAAUUAAGUACGUUUCUUAAAAUGGAAAAUUGGAAGCUGAAUAAUAAGUAUGUCCUUUUUCAUCUUGUGAAGGUAAUUAUAUUCAAUGGAAUUGGAAUGAAGGUUUCAUUCAAGGCCAUAAUGAGCUCGUGAGGUCUCAGACUCAUAUGGUAAUUGGCGAAGGCGGCGCCACUUCUUCCAGCGAGGUCAUUGUUCAUUCCGGUGGUGCAUAUGAUCAUAUCCAUGCUCUGGAUACCUACUAGAUAUCGCCCCCACAAGAGAGAAUUUCUGGAUUCGUCCUUGCGCAUCGAAGGUAUAACCGUUUCACCAUGGAAGAAGUUGAAGAACUGGUUCAAGCGGUUGAAAGACUUGGAACUGGAAGGACAAAUGGAGAACCCUCGUGGAGACUGCCAACCUACCUGCUGACAGAAGGAGAUCAGGGGCGGCGAUUCUGGAACCCCUUCUUCAAAGGGUCCUAAAUGCUCAAAACCGCGUAUUCCACUAGCAAGCGAUGCAGCAGUAUUCAUGGUCCUAGCUAGUUACUUCAUUAAAUAAUUCGUCUAUCAGACCGACUGCCUGAUUAAUAAAUUUAUCCCAGGAAACAGAUGUGCCGACUUAAUAGCUUAUAUGUCGUUUUAAUGAUGCUUUAGAUUUUCAUUUAUUUGAUGUUGCUCCGGUUUGUAAUAAUUCGCAACUUUGCGUAGACUCAAAUGGGAUGGAAUACCCUAGACUCUUGUAUGCCUCUUAAUAUAUCUAUCUAAUGUUCCUGGUUUACCAAAAAAAAAAAAUUUAUCCCAAAUUUCUUAUCCUGUACGAAAAGUUGUGCGAAUUUGUUCAAAAAAUAAAAUAAUUCCGUGCAUAAUUUUAUCAAUUUCAUUACUCCAUAUUGAAGAACUCAUGCAAGUACUUUCUUUUGGUGUAACGAAGUUUCAAAUAAUUAUGCACAAAGCUAUUGCUUUGAUGAUUCUUAGGAUUUGGGAAAGUCGGGGUGUAGUCAAAAUGUGUCAUUUAUGAACUAUUCUGGUCAAUCGUUGUUGCAUACUACAGUAGUAAUUUUGCUACGUGCUACGCACGAUUAUCAUGCCCGUUAAUUUAAAAUGUUUGAAUAUCCAUUGUGUAUUUAUUAGAUUAAUUAGAAUAAAGCAAAAGGAUCGAAUUGGAACUCUAAUUAGAUUAAUUAGAAGGCAUUAUAGUCAAACGAAAUACAGUAAUAAAAACAAAGAAGGUUUGGGUGUUUCUGCAUGAAGGCUAUUGAGACAUGAAAAAGAUUACACUAAUUUCUACGAGAAUUCUAGAUCCAACAAAAAUUUCUAUGGCAAAUAAAUAAAAAAUACAACAAAGGAUCUUUACUGUAGAGUUUAAGAAAGCAAGUAUUCUGUUUCUUUCCUCUAAUUUUCUAUGCAACCAAACACGGUGUUAGAAGUUAAGACAACUCUAUGCGUAUAGAACCCUAGAAUCAAAGAUGCAUAUAUUUCCAAACAAAUGUUUCCUCUGAAAUCGGUGAGAGGAAAUUGCGACCCCUUAUUUCUAAUUCCUCCUGCAUCCAUAAU